CUAGAAGCAGCAGAGGCAGCAGCAUAGUGGAAAUAUAAUCAUGAACUCGAGAGAUAGGCUUGCAAGGCUAGUUAACACACCCCCUUUGACCUUCACUAUGCCACAGCAAAUCUUCAUACUGCUUUUAAGAUUCGGGAUUUCUUAAGCAUCUUGUCCUUGUGAGUGCAGCAGUGCCAUCUUGUGGUUACGUUAGAUUAUGACAAAGUAUUUGAUCACUCUCAAAGUAGUCAGCCCAGUCAGACUGUAUGUGUGGAAGGAGCAGGUGAUGUUGAAAGCAAACCUGGCCUUCGGGGCUACGUGACACAUUACAAAUGACAUGCAGGAGGGCUUAAGCUUCCCCUGAGUUUGUACAGAUGGUUUGUACUGUCUGUUUCUGCUGUCACUGUCCUCUUUCAUGAUUGGCUGGAGUUCUGACUCCAGCUUGAUUUUCAAGCUCCUCUAAAACCACAUUUAAAAUGAAUUAGUGCCAUCUACUGGGAGAACACAGUAAAAUUGGUUGAGGAGUCCUAGGCCAGAUGUGAAGAAUGAAUCUUGUUUUAUGUGAAGAAAGUUGGAAAAGAGCAGGUUUGUGACGUCACACCCCUUCAUUGAUGUGCAUGUCUCGGCUUCCAUCUAAAGCCAUCAGUUGCACUAAUGCCCCACUAUUUACUUCACCGGAGUCUAGAGUAAUCUGUGGGCCACCUGCCUCUGAGUGGUGAGGCAAGCAGGUGUGGAGGUCCCAUGCAGGACCGACAGAACCAGCCAUCUCCUCACCAGGUGGACUGUAUGCUAAUUCUGGACAGGGUGGAGAACACUUUUUGUCUUUCAGGAAACCUGGAGUUUACAUCUGGAAAAUAAUGCUUUCUGUGCAUGUGGGAGCAGGCAGCCCUUGCAGAGCCACAGUGCUUCUCUGUACUCAUUUUGUGACAUACAGCAAGUGAUAAGUGGCCCUUGGGUCAUGCCUGAUAUGCCACAGGAAUUCCUGCAGCCUCAUGGCCCCUCUCAGAGCAUCAGUACACAGCCCACUUGGGAAUUGGCCACAUUCUGCACUGUCCUGUCCAGUACUGGCAUUUGAAGUCCCCAUCAGUGAGCUCCAGGUAUCACUCUUGGGAUCUGGUUCUCCUCAGGCUGCUGGCUUUUCUUAUUUUGGUUCUUCUUCAGCUCUCUGCUCCUAAAUAAUUGCUCACAAACUGGGAGUCACGGUUCAAAAGCCUCCAUGUUCUGCAAACUUUAUAGUCAGCAAG
RNAcentral lists this long non-coding RNA (1223 nucleotides) under Cricetulus griseus (Chinese hamster). RNAcentral's name for it is "lncRNA (ENSCGRG00015037491.1)". The record is from RNAcentral. Lineage: Eukaryota; Metazoa; Chordata; Mammalia; Rodentia; Cricetidae.